UUACAUAGUAAACUAGUUAUUUAGUUAAGUAGUUGUAUAGUUAAGUACAUAGGUACAUAUUAGGUGACAUAGUUAGUUAGUUGUAUGACAUAGUUAGUUAGUUGUAUUUAGUAGUUAGUAGGCAAUUGAUACUAUCUCAUUUCAUACUAGAGAUCUUGUACUUAGAAUGUUUGAUUUAUUAUGGACUAAAUGAAUUAUGCGUCCUUAUAUUGAUAUACUAGAU
RNAcentral lists this long non-coding RNA (223 nucleotides) under Setaria italica (foxtail millet). Its description in RNAcentral is "long non-coding RNA (SITA_LNC006850)". The record is from RNAcentral. Lineage: Eukaryota; Viridiplantae; Streptophyta; Magnoliopsida; Poales; Poaceae.